AUUGAACGCUGGCGGCAUGCUUUACACAUGCAAGUCGAACGGCAGCGCGGGCUUCGGCCUGGCGGCGAGUGGCGAACGGGUGAGUAAUAUAUCGGAACGUACCCAGAAGUGGGGGAUAACGUAGCGAAAGUUACGCUAAUACCGCAUACGAUCUACGGAUGAAAGCAGGGGACCGCAAGGCCUUGUGCUUUUGGAGCGGCCGAUAUCUGAUUAGCUAGUUGGUGAGGUAAAAGCUCACCAAGGCGACGAUCAGUAGCUGGUCUGAGAGGACGACCAGCCACACUGGAACUGAGACACGGUCCAGACUCCUACGGGAGGCAGCAGUGGGGAAUUUUGGACAAUGGGGGCAACCCUGAUCCAGCAAUGCCGCGUGAGUGAAGAAGGCCUUCGGGUUGUAAAGCUCUUUUGUCAGGGAAGAAACGGGAGUGGCUAAUAUCCAUUCCUAAUGACGGUACCUGAAGAAUAAGCACCGGCUAACUACGUGCCAGCCGCCGCGGUAA
RNAcentral lists this ribosomal RNA (500 nucleotides) under uncultured bacterium. Its description in RNAcentral is "partial 16S ribosomal RNA". It matches the Rfam family "Bacterial small subunit ribosomal RNA", at positions 30 to 523 of the family's 1533-position model. The record is from RNAcentral.